GAUAGUGGACGUUACUCGCAGAAUAAGCACCGGCUAACUCUGUGCCAGCAGCCGCGGUAAUACAGAGGGUGCGAGCGUUAAUCGGAUUUACUGGGCGUAAAGCGUGCGUAGGCGGCUUUUUAAGUCGGAUGUGAAAUCCCCGAGCUUAACUUGGGAAUUGCAUUCGAUACUGGGAAGCUAGAGUAUGGGAGAGGAUGGUAGAAUUCCAGGUGUAGC
This 216-nucleotide ribosomal RNA is filed under the name uncultured bacterium. RNAcentral describes it as "partial 16S ribosomal RNA". It matches the Rfam family "Bacterial small subunit ribosomal RNA", at positions 464 to 679 of the family's 1533-position model. The record is from RNAcentral.